GUGUGUGUGAGGGAGAGAGAGAGAGAGAAAAACAGAACUAACAUUGGAAAAAGUUAGAAUAUGCUUGCAGCAUCUUUUUACCGGCGAUUCCAACUCUUCCACAUGUCAAAUGAAAUGUUCCUAAUCUGAAGUGUUAAUUCUUUUCCUCUCUCAGAAGUGGUUAUUAGUUCUAUCCAUGGUACAACAUUAUACCGCUUUAAAAAUCUUUAUUUUGCAGUUACCUUGUUCGCAUCGAGGAUGCUGGACCUUUCAGACAGUAAUUCAGGAUGCAGCCAGAAACAGCUGCGGUCCAAGUGGUGGUUCCGACCCCAUUCUCAAGGACGUUUAGGGUAGGGUGGUAAAUAAUGGGUAUCAUUGGAGCCUGUGCACUUCACUGGGGACAGUGUCCCCCCACCCAUCUUUGUUCGGCAGAGCAAUGGGCUCAGGGAAUAUAUAAAUAUAUUACAUAAUUAUAUCUCUGAUAAUCUUGUAUGUGUGAGGAUUAGGCCCCAAGCCGCGGUGUCGCCUGUUCACAGCUGCUGGGAGGGAGGCGUCGGCACCAGGGGGCAGUGUGGUGCAGCAUCCAGCCUGCAGUUAGUUCUGCCCCCCCCUCCCCUCCUCGGGAUGGCUGAGGAAGGUCCCUGGAUUCGAAUGGCGUCCCUCUCCCUCGAUGCUGUUGGAGGAUAGUGCUGAAGUCCUGGUGCUGCGGUUUGUGGAUUGGAGACUGUAGUUCACGUUAUGAUGUGCUUCCGACGGUUGCUAUUUUGGGUGAUUUUGAAUCAGGGUGGCCUGAGGAACACAAGCAGAAUAUGCCCGGACUCUUUUGAUUUUGUGUUCUAUAUUGUGAUUUGGUUUUUUUUGCACAUGGUGGGGUUUGAUGUCUUUCUUUUAACAGGUUCUGUGGUUUUCUUUGUGUCGUGGCUGUCUGUGGGGAAGUCGAAUCUCAGAGUUUGACAAUAAAUGUACUUUGAAUUGCA
Molecule: long non-coding RNA, 956 nt
Organism: Hypanus sabinus (Atlantic stingray)
Lineage: Eukaryota; Metazoa; Chordata; Chondrichthyes; Myliobatiformes; Dasyatidae
Exons: 2
Source: RefSeq, a predicted model, not a curated record